GUCUAUGGCUGUGCCACCUUGAAAAAGCCUGAUGUCUGAUCUCGGAAGCUAAGCAGGAUCAGGACCAAUUAGUACUUGGAUGGGAAACCAUCUAGGAAGACCAGGUGCUGUACGCA
Molecule: ribosomal RNA, 116 nt
Filed under: Pteropus alecto (black flying fox)
Lineage: Eukaryota; Metazoa; Chordata; Mammalia; Chiroptera; Pteropodidae
Also listed under: 1 other name
Source: RNAcentral